GUGAGUGAUNNNNUUUUNGNAUCGUAAAGNUCUNNNUAGGGGAAGNNNAAGUACCNGUUNGAAUAGGNNNGUNCCNUNGACGGUACCCUNANNCNGAAANCCACNGCUNAACUACGUGCCAGCAGCCGCGGNUAAUACGUAGGUGNCNAAGNGUUGUCCCGGNAAUUUAUUGGGCGUAAAGGGCUCGCAGGCGGUUUCUUUAAGUCUGAUGUGAAAGCCCCCCGGCUCAACCGGGGAGGGUCAUUGGAAACUGGGGAACUUGAGUGCAGAAGAGGAGAGUGGAAUUCCACGUGUAGCGGUGAAAUGCGUAGAGAUGUGGAGGAACACCAGUGGCGAAGGCGACUCUCUGGUCUGUAACUGACGCUGAGGAGCGAAAGCGUGGGGAGCGAACAGGAUUAGAUACCCUGGUAGUCCACGCCGUAAACGAUGAGUGCUAAGUGUUAGGGGGUUUCCGCCCCUUAGUGCUGCAGCUAACGCAUUAAGCACUCCGCCUGGGGAGUACGGUCGCAAGACUGAAACUCAAAGGAAUUGACGGGGGCCCGCACAAGCGGUGGAGCAUGUGGUUUAAUUCGAAGCAACGCGAAGAACCUUACCAGGUCUUGACAUCCUCUGACAAUCCUAGAGAUAGGACGUCCCCUUCGGGGGCAGAGUGACAGGUGGUGCAUGGUUGUCGUCAGCUCGUGUCGUGAGAUGUUGGGUUAAGUCCCGCAACGAGCGCAACCCUUGAUCUUAGUUGCCAGCAUUCAGUUGGGCACUCUAAGGUGACUGCCGGUGACAAACCGGAGGAAGGUGGGGAUGACGUCAAAUCAUCAUGCCCCUUAUGACCUGGGCUACACACGUGCUACAAUGGACAGAACAAAGGGCAGCGAAACCGCGAGGUUAAGCCAAUCCCACAAAUCUGUUCUCAGUUCGGAUCGCAGUCUGCAACUCGACUGCGUGAAGCUGGAAUCGCUAGUAAUCGCGGAUCAG
Molecule: ribosomal RNA, 969 nt
Filed under: Bacillus subtilis
Lineage: Bacteria; Bacillati; Bacillota; Bacilli; Caryophanales; Bacillaceae
Description: partial 16S ribosomal RNA
Rfam family: Bacterial small subunit ribosomal RNA
Source: RNAcentral